Molecule: ribosomal RNA, 1420 nt
Filed under: Limosilactobacillus sp.
Lineage: Bacteria; Bacillati; Bacillota; Bacilli; Lactobacillales; Lactobacillaceae
Description: bacterial SSU rRNA
Rfam family: Bacterial small subunit ribosomal RNA
Source: RNAcentral
GUCGAACGCGUUGGCCCAAUUGAUUGAUGGUGCUUGCACCUGAUUGAUUCUGUUCGCCAACGAGUGGCGGACGGGUGAGUAACACGUAGGUAACCUGCCCAGAAGCGGGGGACAACAUUUGGAAACAGAUGCUAAUACCGCAUAACAGCGUUGUUCGCAUGAACAACGCUUAAAAGAUGGCUUCUCGCUAUCACUUCUGGAUGGACCUGCGGUGCAUUAGCUUGUUGGUGGGGUAACGGCCUACCAAGGCGAUGAUGCAUAGCCGAGUUGAGAGACUGAUCGGCCACAAUGGGACUGAGACACGGCCCAUACUCCUACGGGAGGCAGCAGUAGGGAAUCUUCCACAAUGGGCGCAAGCCUGAUGGAGCAACACCGCGUGAGUGAAGAAGGGUUUCGGCUCGUAAAGCUCUGUUGUUAAAGAAGAACACGUAUGAGAGUAACUGUUCAUACGUUGACGGUAUUUAACCAGAAAGUCACGGCUAACUACGUGCCAGCAGCCGCGGUAAUACGUAGGUGGCAAGCGUUAUCCGGAUUUAUUGGGCGUAAAGAGAGUGCAGGCGGUUUUCUAAGUCUGAUGUGAAAGCCUUCGGCUUAACCGGAGAAGUGCAUCGGAAACUGGAUAACUUGAGUGCAGAAGAGGGUAGUGGAACUCCAUGUGUAGCGGUGGAAUGCGUAGAUAUAUGGAAGAACACCAGUGGCGAAGGCGGCUACCUGGUCUGCAACUGACGCUGAGACUCGAAAGCAUGGGUAGCGAACAGGAUUAGAUACCCUGGUAGUCCAUGCCGUAAACGAUGAGUGCUAGGUGUUGGAGGGUUUCCGCCCUUCAGUGCCGGAGCUAACGCAUUAAGCACUCCGCCUGGGGAGUACGACCGCAAGGUUGAAACUCAAAGGAAUUGACGGGGGCCCGCACAAGCGGUGGAGCAUGUGGUUUAAUUCGAAGCUACGCGAAGAACCUUACCAGGUCUUGACAUCUUGCGCCAACCCUAGAGAUAGGGCGUUUCCUUCGGGAACGCAAUGACAGGUGGUGCAUGGUCGUCGUCAGCUCGUGUCGUGAGAUGUUGGGUUAAGUCCCGCAACGAGCGCAACCCUUGUUACUAGUUGCCAGCAUUAAGUUGGGCACUCUAGUGAGACUGCCGGUGACAAACCGGAGGAAGGUGGGGACGACGUCAGAUCAUCAUGCCCCUUAUGACCUGGGCUACACACGUGCUACAAUGGACGGUACAACGAGUCGCGAACUCGCGAGGGCAAGCAAAUCUCUUAAAACCGUUCUCAGUUCGGACUGCAGGCUGCAACUCGCCUGCACGAAGUCGGAAUCGCUAGUAAUCGCGGAUCAGCAUGCCGCGGUGAAUACGUUCCCGGGCCUUGUACACACCGCCCAUCACACCAUGAGAGUUUGUAACACCCAAAGUCGGUGGGGUAA